RNAcentral lists this ribosomal RNA (422 nucleotides) under uncultured bacterium. RNAcentral describes it as "bacterial SSU rRNA". It matches the Rfam family "Bacterial small subunit ribosomal RNA", at positions 29 to 450 of the family's 1533-position model. The record is from RNAcentral.
AGUGAACGCUGGCGGCGUGCCUAAUACAUGCAAGUCGAACGGAGAUUAAGUAGCUUGCUAUUUAAUCUUAGUGGCGCACGGGUGAGUAAUAUAUAGCUAACUUGCCCAUUACUAAGGGACAACAGUUGGAAACGACUGCUAAUACCUUAUACUCCGUAUCUAUAUAAGUAGAUACGGGAAAGUUUUUCGGUAAUGGAUAGGGCUAUAUCGUAUCAGCUAGUUGGUAGGGUAAUGGCUUACCAAGGCUACGACGCGUAACUGGUCUGAGAGGAUGAUCAGUCACACUGGAACUGAGACACGGUCCAGACUCCUACGGGAGGCAGCAGUAGGGAAUAUUGCUCAAUGGGGGAAACCCUGAAGCAGCAACGCCGCGUGGAGGAUGACACUUUUCGGAGCGUAAACUCCUUUUCUNGGGGAAGAAA